CGCGUAGGCGGUUUGACAAGUCUGAUGUGAAAUCUCUGGGCUCAACCCAGAGUCUGCAUUAGAAACUGUCGGGCUUGAGUAUGGGAGAGGUGAGUGGAAUUUCCGGUGUAGCGGUGAAAUGCGUAGAUAUCGGAAGGAACACCUGUGGCGAAAGCGGCUCACUGGACCAUAACUGACGCUGAGGCGCGAAAGCUAGGGAGCAAACA
This 206-nucleotide ribosomal RNA is filed under the name uncultured bacterium. Its description in RNAcentral is "partial 16S ribosomal RNA". It matches the Rfam family "Bacterial small subunit ribosomal RNA", at positions 568 to 774 of the family's 1533-position model. The record is from RNAcentral.